RNAcentral lists this ribosomal RNA (702 nucleotides) under Enterobacter roggenkampii. RNAcentral's name for it is "partial 23S ribosomal RNA". It matches the Rfam family "Bacterial large subunit ribosomal RNA", at positions 2202 to 2898 of the family's 2925-position model. The record is from RNAcentral. Lineage: Bacteria; Pseudomonadati; Pseudomonadota; Gammaproteobacteria; Enterobacterales; Enterobacteriaceae.
ACCCUUUAAUGGCUGGUGUUCUAACGUAGACCCGUGAUCCGGGUUGCGGACAGUGUCUGGUGGGUAGUUUGACUGGGGCGGUCUCCUCCCAAAGAGUAACGGAGGAGCACGAAGGUUAGCUAAUCCUGGUCGGACAUCAGGAGGUUAGUGCAAUGGCAUAAGCUAGCUUGACUGCGAGAGUGACGGCUCGAGCAGGUGCGAAAGCAGGUCAUAGUGAUCCGGUGGUUCUGAAUGGAAGGGCCAUCGCUCAACGGAUAAAAGGUACUCCGGGGAUAACAGGCUGAUACCGCCCAAGAGUUCAUAUCGACGGCGGUGUUUGGCACCUCGAUGUCGGCUCAUCACAUCCUGGGGCUGAAGUAGGUCCCAAGGGUAUGGCUGUUCGCCAUUUAAAGUGGUACGCGAGCUGGGUUUAGAACGUCGUGAGACAGUUCGGUCCCUAUCUGCCGUGGGCGCUGGAGAAUUGAGGGGGGCUGCUCCUAGUACGAGAGGACCGGAGUGGACGCAUCACUGGUGUUCGGGUUGUCAUGCCAAUGGCACUGCCCGGUAGCUAAAUGCGGAAAAGAUAAGUGCUGAAAGCAUCUAAGCACGAAACUUGCCCCGAGAUGAGUUCUCCCUGAGACUUUAAGUCUCCUGAAGGAACGUUGAAGACGACGACGUUGAUAGGUCGGGUGUGUAAGCGCAGCGAUGCGUUGAGCUAACCGA